AUCGCUUCUUGGCCUUUUGGCUAAGAUCAAGUGUAGUACAGUAAACUACAUUUUUAACUUUUCAAAAAAAAAAAGAAAAAUCAACUUUAAGAGAGAUGGUGUGGUGACUUGAUGCUCUGCUGUGCAUAUCACAAUCCUU
Molecule: small nuclear RNA, 139 nt
Organism: Bos taurus (domestic cattle)
Lineage: Eukaryota; Metazoa; Chordata; Mammalia; Artiodactyla; Bovidae
Gene: U2
Rfam family: U2 spliceosomal RNA
About the family: U2 is a small nuclear RNA (snRNA) component of the spliceosome (involved in pre-mRNA splicing). Complementary binding between U2 snRNA (in an area lying towards the 5' end but 3' to hairpin I) and the branchpoint sequence (BPS) of the intron results the bulging out of an unpaired adenosine, on the BPS, which initiates a nucleophilic attack at the intronic 5' splice site, thus starting the first of two transesterification reactions that mediate splicing.
Source: Ensembl